RNAcentral lists this ribosomal RNA (390 nucleotides) under uncultured bacterium. RNAcentral's name for it is "bacterial SSU rRNA". It matches the Rfam family "Bacterial small subunit ribosomal RNA", at positions 28 to 416 of the family's 1533-position model. The record is from RNAcentral.
GAUGAACGCUAGCGGCAGGCUUAACACAUGCAAGUCGAGGGGUAGAGAGUGCUUGCAUUCUCGAGACCGGCGCACGGGUGCGUAACGCGUAUGCAACCUACCUUGAACAGGGGGGAUAGCCCAGAGAAAUUUGGAUUAAUACCCCAUGGUAUAUUGAGAUGGCAUCAUCUUAUUAUUAAAGUCACAACGGUUCAAGAUGGGCAUGCGUCCCAUUAGCUAGAUGGUAAGGUAACGGCUUACCAAGGCUACGAUGGGUAGGGGUCCUGAGAGGGAGAUCCCCCACACCUGGUACUGAGACACGGACCAGACUCCUACGGGAGGCAGCAGUGAGGAAUAUUGGGACAAUGGGCGCAAGCCUGAUCCAGCCAUGCCGCGUGAGUGAAGAAGGCC